UAAACUGGAGGAAGGUGGGGAUGACGUCAAGUCAUCAUGGCCCUUACGAGUAGGGCUACACACGUGCUACAAUGGCAUAUACAAAGAGAAGCGACCUCGCGAGAGCAAGCGGACCUCACAAAGUAUGUCGUAGUCCGGAUCGGAGUCUGCAACUCGACUCCGUGAAGUCGGAAUCGCUAGUAAUCGUAGAUCAGAAUGCUACGGUGAAUACGUUCCCGGGCCUUGUACACACCGCCCGUCACACCAUGGGAGUGGGUUGCAAAAGAAGUAGGUAGCUUAACCUUCGGGAGGGCGCUUACCACUGUGUGAUCAUGACUGGGGUGAAGUCGUAUCAAUAAACGA
RNAcentral lists this ribosomal RNA (342 nucleotides) under Pectobacterium carotovorum. RNAcentral describes it as "bacterial SSU rRNA". It matches the Rfam family "Bacterial small subunit ribosomal RNA", at positions 1159 to 1501 of the family's 1533-position model. Lineage: Bacteria; Pseudomonadati; Pseudomonadota; Gammaproteobacteria; Enterobacterales; Pectobacteriaceae. The record is from RNAcentral.